Long non-coding RNA from Pieris napi, 245 nucleotides. RefSeq lists it as uncharacterized. The transcript is spliced from 2 exons. Lineage: Eukaryota; Metazoa; Arthropoda; Insecta; Lepidoptera; Pieridae. The record is from RefSeq and is a predicted model, not a curated record.
CACUAAUGAACAUAAUUAGAAGUUCUAAAUAUAAUAAUCAAAUAAAGUGGAUUUAUAGGUACUUCAUGAACUUUGGAAAUAUAAAAUCUAGUGAGCAAUACUAAGGAAUGAAAAAGAGAAGCUAUGGAGUAUGAAAUAAUGGUUGGUUAAGUAACAUUACCUCAAGAACAGGAAACAGUAACUGAAACUAUGUUCUUCUACAUUUAAUCUUAAUAAGUUCAGCAGUUUGAAUGUUAAUGAGACAU